RNAcentral lists this long non-coding RNA (1022 nucleotides) under Anas zonorhyncha (Eastern spot-billed duck). RNAcentral describes it as "lncRNA (ENSAZOG00000003027.1)". The record is from RNAcentral. Lineage: Eukaryota; Metazoa; Chordata; Aves; Anseriformes; Anatidae.
AUGCGAUAUGCAGGUAACCCUUCCCGGAGCUGCCCCCGCAGCCCCUCACCGCCAGCCCUCACAGCUCGGGGGCCAUCAGAGCCCCCCCAGAGGCGGCGUGCGGCUGCCCGGCCCCGGCCGCCCCCCUCUCCCCGCAGCUCACCGCCGCCUCCCUCGCACGGGCAGGGCCGGGCCGAGCCCAGGCACAGCGAAGCAGAGCCCCGAAGCCUCCCGGCCGGCCGAGCGCCCCGGGCACGCCGCCGCCCGAGCAGGGGAGGGACGAGGCGGGGAGGGGACGGGGGCGGCCCUGCCUCUGUCCCCGUCCCGUCCCCUCGGCCCCAGGCGCAUGCGCGGGGGGGCAGGCACAUGGCGGCGGCCGCCAUUUCGUGCCCAGGCGGGCCUCGUCCCGCGGCUAAAAUGGGGUGGGGUGGCGUUUACCCCUCGAUUUUCACGUUUUUUCCUGACUUGAAGUACAUGUAUCGUCGUCUCUUUGUUCAGCCAGACGGGUUCUGGCCCUCAGUAACCCUACAGGCCUUUCAGGCAGCUGUUUGAUCCAGGCAUAGCAUUGCCCUGCUCCGUUGACAGCAAGUCUCGGGGAAGUGGUGCUGUGGUGCCACAGUGAGGGACUUGUCCGUGGGCACAGAUGCCCAAAAAUCGCCCAGGAGUGACAGACACCCAUUGUAUGGCCAUCCACUUCUGCCACCCCCAGAAAAGCUUUGGCUCAUCCAUCCAAAGUUAAAUAACUAUGCCUCAACAAGAGGUUGAGCGUGGGCACAUUUCACAGACUGCUUCUCAGAUAUCCAGCAGACAAAAAGGGUCUAUGAACAGUGUGGCGUUCUGCUGCUUGCUACACGAAUCCGGCUUCUUCAAGCUGCCCUGACAGGGCCCAAAGAUUUGGUGGGUCAUGUCUGAAUGGGAGAUGCCAAAAACAGACAUUUUGUUCAAGACCUAUAUCAUAAUAAACAGAUUUUCUGUACAUACAGCUUUGUACUAAUCAGUGUUUCUUUGUGACCGUAAUUAUAUCAACCAUGCUAAAUUUAUCA